ACGUGAAGUUCCCGUUUAGGUGAUAAGAAACUCUUCUUCAAAGUCAACAAACAUAACCACAAACUUCAUUUAAGUGAGAUAAGUUUCUGUUUUAUGAAAAGGUAGAAAUAUUGUUCCUUGUUCGACGUAAUUUGUCGACUUUGCGUCUAGAAGACAAUGAAAGUGAACGGAAUUAGAAUCGAGACGAUCCCUGAAGGAAAUUGUGUAUUCAGAUAAUUUCUAUUCAGUGCAUAAGACAGACACGGAAAAGAUACAGAAGAUCGGAAAUUUUUACAGACGUAAUUUAUCGAAUUUGAAGAUUACAUAACAGGCGAUGAAGCAAGUAACUCAUCGAUUGAAUCCCUUGAAUAUUUUGGGUGUCACAUGAGAAAAAAUGCGAUGACCCAAGAGCAGAAGUUCCAAAUACGUUCUUCCUCUGCUAACGUAGGAAUGAGCAUAAAUUUUCACGGUUCACAUCAAGUUGUCACUAUGAAUAAAUAAUACGGAUCACACAGGCAUCUCAGCGAUCGCUUAACGACUCUCUUAUCAAAGUCAAUUCGCCGUUUGUCAGCGUCAGUGGAGGCGAAAGAAAUGUCAACAGAAAUUCGGCUUCGGACACAUGUUUCACAGCAAACCUUGCAGCCAAACAAAUUGGUCCGUCCAAACCGCACGACGGUAGCAAGUCGACUGUUUAUCGGCUUGCUCGAUAAUCACUGCUGUCCAGCUGUGGCGACUCUCUCCCAUGGCAAUUCUAUGGCUGGACGGAACCGUGCUAGUUAUUCACGAGCCAACAGUUAUCACUGUCCUCAAGUGAUAAUCCCAGAUGCCAGGAGAAGAUAAAACGUUUGCACAGAAUCUCCGCGGUUCGUCACGCGAGAAUACGCAAAUUCCCACGUGACUGCACCAGUGGCGCAGUUUCAUAAAAAUUUCUGACGAAUUAUUCUGAAUCACGGACCACCGCGUUGAUACUGGCCUUUUUGCUUUCAAAGAGAAUAAUAAUGACGAAUACUGAUCUUGAAGUUUGCAACCACACGGCAUCAAACAGGUCGAAGUCUUAAUGAAGUAAACCUACGUGAGCUUCGUCAGAGUGGGGUACUCUUGCCUGAACCACCGCAAUUUCCGCACGUAUAACUGCGACCACCCCCAGAAUAUGACAUCGGAGGAGAUGGUGUGAACAUGUAGUUAUAGGACGAUGACGAAGUGCUGCGACGGCCGCAAGUUCUACUGUUGUGACCUGAGAUGAGAAGACAAAAUACAUAUUAAUUCUCAUCAUCUUAACUUCUGAUCAUAAUCUCUACUGUUAACAUCAUAGAUCCAAUGAUAGUCACUGAAAAUGGUCUCAAUAAUGUACCUUCAC
Molecule: long non-coding RNA, 1336 nt
Organism: Neodiprion fabricii
Lineage: Eukaryota; Metazoa; Arthropoda; Insecta; Hymenoptera; Diprionidae
Exons: 3
Source: RefSeq, a predicted model, not a curated record